GUGGGGUGGGGAGAGGGGGGAGGGACAGCAUUAGGAGAUAUACCUAAUGUAAACGACAAGUUAAUGGGUACAGCACACCAACAUGGCACAUGUAUACAUAUGUAACAAACCUGCACGUUGUGCACAUGUACCCUAGAACUUAAAGUAUAAUAAUAAAAAAAAAGAAAACAGACCCCCUUUUCACCAAAGCCGGCCAUAAAACCUGAAAAUAGUACUCUAACCCCUUCCCUCCUUUCUGUGUAAAAACUAGACUUAAAUAAAUUAUCUGACCUGCUUGAUUGCAGGUCAUAAGAUCCUCAUUCCAGAGAAGGUCCUGCCCCACACCCAGAAGGAAGGAACGCUGCUCAGAGAGGCCAAGAAGAAUCUAGACAGACAGUCCUUGCUGGUUUUCGCCACUUAGUCUAGUAGCAUUAGGUCAUAGCCUUUCUGUUCCAUCCUCUUUCUACACAGCUGUCCAUACUUCCUUAACCUACACAUAAAAUGGAUAGUUCCCCCUAUAUCCUUAGGUCUUCAUGCUGAAGUUCCCCACGUCAUAUAAAACUAUGAUUUAAUAAACCUGUAUGCUUUUCCCCCUAUUAAUCUGCCUUUGAUCAGUUGAUUUUCAGCAAACCCUCAGUGAAGGGGAAGUUUUUCCUUUGAGUCGACAAAAAAAAAAAAAAAAAAGGGAAUGUCCACCUGACUAUAUACAUUGAAGUUCUUUGUUGCCACCCCUUGAGAAUUCCUGUACCAAUGUAUAAUGUACAAAUAACAUGAUUUAUUCCUACUCUGGUGGCAGCAGCACAAAGAUGGACUAGUUAGACAUUUCCCCUCGUUCCAUGGAAUGAGCAUAUUUGGUCAAGCCUGGGUUUUUUCACAGACUAAGAGAUAGAAACUCUUGAAUUACUUGCAAUAAUAAAAGCCUGUGUCUUUGCCUAGAAAAUCCUAAAUAACCACUACCAGACAGCUCUUCACCUAGAUUACUACUUGUUAAAAUUCUGACCUGAGAUGGAUGUUCCCCAUAUCCCUAGGUAG
This 1011-nucleotide long non-coding RNA is filed under the name Homo sapiens (human). RNAcentral describes it as "HSALNT0194093". Lineage: Eukaryota; Metazoa; Chordata; Mammalia; Primates; Hominidae. The record is from RNAcentral.